RNAcentral lists this ribosomal RNA (229 nucleotides) under uncultured bacterium. Its description in RNAcentral is "partial 16S ribosomal RNA". It matches the Rfam family "Bacterial small subunit ribosomal RNA", at positions 568 to 796 of the family's 1533-position model. The record is from RNAcentral.
CACGUAGGCGGCUUGGUAAGUCAGAUGUGAAAGCCCGGGGCUUAACCCCGGAAGUGCAUUUGAUACUGCCAAGCUUGAGUAUGGGAGAGGGAAGUGGGAUUCCUGGUGUAGAGGUGAAAUUCGUAGAUAUCAGGAGGAACACCGGUGGCGAAGGCGACUUCCUGGACCAAUACUGACGCUGAGGUGCGAAGGCGUGGGUAGCAAACAGGAUUAGAUACCCUGGUAGUCC